AGAUGAAUAUACUUACAGUACCAGAAACCAGUACCAUCCGUGGCAGCACUCAGUACAAUGCAUUAAUGCUAGUUGCAUAUAUACUGGGGAAAUAGUAUCAGUACUUAGUAUCAUAAGUGGCAACACCUAAUACCAUAAGUGCCAGCACCCAGCACUUUGAUCACAUCGGCUGUAUCCCACCGAGAUAGUGCAGAACUAAGAAGAAGAAGCACUUUUACCAUCACUCAUGUCAUCACUGUCU
Cherax quadricarinatus is the source of this 241-nucleotide non-coding RNA. The record is from RefSeq and is a predicted model, not a curated record. Lineage: Eukaryota; Metazoa; Arthropoda; Malacostraca; Decapoda; Parastacidae.